UUUAAUAAAAAAAAUGAACUUAAUUUUGUUUUAGUUGUAAUGAAAAUAAUAAAAAUAUUCCUAUUAUUUUUUUAAAAAACCAAAGGUAUCCUCCACGCGCAACUGCGGAGACUAAUCCACUCGAGGUAACUGUGAUCCAUUUAAGGGGUUUGACCUCUCCAACAAAUGUUUCUCCAUACGCACCGACCGGGGAUCAAACCCAGGACCAAAUAGUUAAGGGACCCAAAUAUCCACCACUUGUGUCACACUAUGUUGGUAAAAUAUUCCUAUUCUAAUUCACAUUUUAGAGUGUGAACCAUAUCCAGACCAGAAUGUAGGAAAAAAAUGCAUCAUCCCCGCCUAUUGACAUUGGUCAUAUACACUAACCAUUUUACAUCAAAAUAUCAAAAAGUGAUUAUUAGUAAAAAAAAAAUGAUAUACAAUUUAACUAAUUGUGUUAGAUCUACUAUGUCAGCCACACUACUAUCAUCUUCAACCUUCACAACAUCACCGUAUUUCUCAAUAUCUAUAACAUCUUCUCUUGUUGAGAUGUGACAAAAUCUUCAAUUAUAUCACAUACCUGAGCACAAAUGAGAGCAUU
RNAcentral lists this long non-coding RNA (580 nucleotides) under Trifolium pratense (red clover). Its description in RNAcentral is "long non-coding RNA (TPRA_LNC009714)". The record is from RNAcentral. Lineage: Eukaryota; Viridiplantae; Streptophyta; Magnoliopsida; Fabales; Fabaceae.